AUGUUUCUAAUCAAAAAAGGAAAUUCUGGAAGAAAGCCUAAGGACAUUAACCUAGAAAAAAUCCUAACGAUCCCAUUAAACAAAAGGUCUACCAUUAGGUCACUUGUCUGGCAACUCGGAUGUAGCCCUACCACACUUCAUAGAAAGUUCAUGUUAAACUUGAUAAGGAGGCAUACAAACUGUGUGAAGCCAGCUCUAAAGGACCAGAAUAAAAAGGAUAGGAUGAAAUUUUGUUUGUCGAUGCUUGAUGAGGCAACAACAGCAACUGCAAGGCCUAAGUUCAAGACUAUGCAUAAUGUUGUCCAUAUCGACGAAAAGUGGUUUAACAUGACAAAGAAGAAUAAAACAUAUUAUCUGUUGGAUGGGCAGGAAGAGCCUACGAGGCCUAUACAUGGCAACUGUAUUGGCAAGGUAAUGUUCUUGACGCCCGUUGCUAGGCCGAGGUGGGACAGUGAAGGAAACGUGACCUUCUCUAGGAAAAUCGAUAUCUGGCCAUUCGUGAAGGAAGUUCCUCCUCAAAGGAGAAGCGACAAUAAGCCCAGAGGUACAAUAGAGGCAGAAUCAAUAGAAGUCGACAGAAAAGUGAUGAGGGAGUUCCUAAUAGAGAAAGUCUUGCCAGCAAUACAAGCUGUUUGGCCCAAAGGUGAUGCUGGACAGACCAUCUACAUUCAACAGGAUAAU
This 681-nucleotide ribosomal RNA is filed under the name Triticum aestivum (bread wheat). Its description in RNAcentral is "partial small subunit ribosomal RNA". The record is from RNAcentral. Lineage: Eukaryota; Viridiplantae; Streptophyta; Magnoliopsida; Poales; Poaceae.